RNAcentral lists this long non-coding RNA (1096 nucleotides) under Corvus moneduloides (New Caledonian crow). RNAcentral describes it as "lncRNA (ENSCMUG00000016941.1)". The record is from RNAcentral. Lineage: Eukaryota; Metazoa; Chordata; Aves; Passeriformes; Corvidae.
UAUUUCACUAUGUCUUCAUGUUUUACCAGGAAAAAAUGUGGAAGCAGCACAUUGAACUCUGUGCUGAUGGUAACUUUCAGAGCCCCUUUCACAGCCCUGGGACAAAUGACUGGUGACAUUUGUGAUCACCAUGUGGUGAGCAGAGGAAACUCCCCUCUCUUCCACCCUCAUGUCAGGAGCCUGUGCUCAAGGAGCAAAGUCUGAAGUGAGUCACGGAGGUGAACAUCUCUUCCUACUAGCAGCCCAAGCCUACAUUGACCUGGAAGAGCAUUUAUAUGAGCAUGAACCAAGACAGAAGGAAGGGUAGGUAGAGGCUCCCUCUGAGCAGGAGAAAUGGUGCACCUGACAGAGAUGAAGGCAGCUGGACUCCAAACAUGCCUAAAAGUCUUCCUGAACUACAGCCUUACAGCUGCCAUCUCAAAUUGCUCUCAAAACAAGAUCUCACAUCCCAUGUUUGUGACAACUCUCCACACCAAAACAACCUGAGUUUAAGACUACUCCAUGCUGGAAACAGAUGUACCUUUGAGGCUAAUGUAAUGGACUCUGUGUUUCUGCCUUUCAUGUAAUCUUUUAUUUUUUAAAAUGUAGAAGCGCUACACCACAUGUGUGUGAAAUGAGACUGUGUGUCAAUGAAAGGCAUAAAAAAUUAUUCCAGAAAAAGGCUCUGACUGGAAUAACAACGGAGAAGCCAAGGGGCUCAUGGUUCUAUAACACGUUCAUUCAGAAAAUCACAGGGCAGUGUGACAGCUGGAGUGAGGAAAGACUAGUGGCAAUAUUUUUUUAAGAAUUACAUGAUGAAAAAAUAAUAAUAAACAUUAACAAUGUUUUUUGGUUGAUUUUUUUUUCUUUUUUCUUUCCCAUGACAUAAACAAUAGUACUCUGGUCAUAAGCCAAAACCUGACAAAGGUCCAAGGUUGAAAAGGGUUUCUUUGAGCCUGUCUUCCUGGUAUAAUUAUUGUAGGUUCAGAGGAACCAGAUCUGGAGUGUUGUAAACUCAACACAAUGAACUUGACAGACAGCCAGAUUUCUGUUUUCAGCCAGUUUAGGGUUACUAUAAUCUCAUUAUUAUGCUUGAAAGACGACAAGUAAUAGAAUC